This 451-nucleotide ribosomal RNA is filed under the name uncultured bacterium. RNAcentral describes it as "partial 16S ribosomal RNA". It matches the Rfam family "Bacterial small subunit ribosomal RNA", at positions 28 to 507 of the family's 1533-position model. The record is from RNAcentral.
GAUGAACGCUGGCGGCGUGCCUAACACAUGCGAGUCGAGCGGCAGCGCGGGGUGCUUGCACCCUGUCGGCGAGCGGCGGACGUCUGAGUAACGCGUGGGAACGUGCCCCAAAGUGAGGAAUAACUGCCCGAAAGGGUAGCUAAUACCGCAUAUUAUCUUCGGAUCAAAGGAUUUAUCCGCUUUGGGAGCGGCUCGCGUCGGAUUAGGUAGUUGGUGAGGUAAUGGCUCACCAAGCCGACGAUCCGUAGCUGGUCUGAGAGGAUGACCAGCCAGACUGGAACUGAGACACGGUCCAGACUCCUACGGGAGGCAGCAGUGAGGAAUCUUACACAAUGGGCGAAAGCCUGAUGGAGCAGCGCCGCGUGCAGGACGAAGGCCUUCGGGUUGUAAACUGCUUUUAUAAGUGAGGAAUAUGACGGUAACUUAUGAAUAAGGAUCGGCUAACUACGUG